This 253-nucleotide ribosomal RNA is filed under the name uncultured bacterium. RNAcentral's name for it is "partial 16S ribosomal RNA". It matches the Rfam family "Bacterial small subunit ribosomal RNA", at positions 524 to 776 of the family's 1533-position model. The record is from RNAcentral.
UACGGAGGAUGCAAGCGUUAUCCGGAAUGAUUGGGCGUAAAGCGUCCGCAGGUGGCAAUGUAAGUCUGCUGUCAAAGCGUCUGGCUCAACCAGAUAAAGGCAGUGGAAACUACAUAGCUAGAGUAAGGUAGGGGUAGAGGGAAUUCCCGGUGUAGCGGUGAAAUGCGCAGAUAUCGGGAGGAACACCUAUGGCGAAGGCAGCUCGCUGGGACGUUACUGACGCUGAGACGCGAAAGCGUGGGGAGCAAACAGG